CACUGCCCAUCGCUACUACCAAUUGAAUGAUUUAGUGAGGUCUUCAGACCGAUACCUGGAGCGUCUUUUCGGUUGCGCCGGUGUGUUGGAAAGAUGACCAAACUUGAUCAUUUAGAGGAAGUAAAAGCCGUAACAAGGUUUCUGUAGGUGAACCUGGGAAG
This 161-nucleotide ribosomal RNA is filed under the name Ixodes scapularis (black-legged tick). RNAcentral describes it as "eukaryotic small subunit ribosomal RNA". It matches the Rfam family "Eukaryotic small subunit ribosomal RNA", at positions 1667 to 1823 of the family's 1831-position model. The record is from RNAcentral. Lineage: Eukaryota; Metazoa; Arthropoda; Arachnida; Ixodida; Ixodidae.